This 357-nucleotide transfer-messenger RNA is filed under the name Christensenellales. RNAcentral's name for it is "Aphodomorpha sp900549955 Standard tmRNA". It matches the Rfam family "transfer-messenger RNA". From Rfam's summary of the family: Bacterial tmRNA, also known as 10Sa RNA or SsrA, is named for its dual tRNA and mRNA-like properties. Its role is to liberate the mRNA from a stalled ribosome. To accomplish this part of the tmRNA is used as a reading frame that ends in a translation stop signal. The record is from RNAcentral. RNAcentral also lists the same sequence under 1 other name. Lineage: Bacteria; Bacillati; Bacillota; Clostridia.
GGGGGCGAACAUGGUUUCGACGGGGAUCGUGGAAGCCGGAUAAGCGAGCCGAAGCCCCGUGCUUCGUUAAAAACGGGACAGUUAAAAAUUAACUGACAACUACAACACCAACCUCGUCGCUGCGUAAAUCGCGGUGACCGUCCGCCCGCAAAGACCUACCGUUGCGGUUGCGGGCGUCAUUUAGGGUAGGGAACGAACCCGCCUAAGCUUUGCGGCGGGCCGGACUUAUGAAGCUACCGGAACGCGGACCCUGCCGCCGGGGGCCGCGGAAAGGGAAUGUUAAAUCAGCGGCUACGCUCGUAGAAGGUCUGGUGGACAGAUUUUCGGACGCGAGUUCGACUCUCGCCGCCUCCACCA